Molecule: long non-coding RNA, 371 nt
Filed under: Panax ginseng (ginseng)
Lineage: Eukaryota; Viridiplantae; Streptophyta; Magnoliopsida; Apiales; Araliaceae
Description: long non-coding RNA (PGIN_LNC010253)
Source: RNAcentral
AGGCAAAAAACAGAUAGAAAGUAAAACUACGUUUCUUUGGUUCCCUGAGUUCUUUUGCAGAAUCUUCUAGCAUAUUAAUUAGGCUCGCUCCACUUGCACUGAAGAAAUCACCGCAGCUGAUGGACUGCAAAGCCCUCUCCUUCCACUUGAGAACUACGUCAAGACUAGAGACUCCCAUUACCGACAUAACACACCAAAAUCUCCCCCAAGACGUACGCUGUCCAGGAGGGUAAACCCGCCGGGAAGUUGGCCGGAUGCAGGACAGUGGCAUCGGAGGUGGCACGCGCCCGCUUCUCUCACCGUACGGUUCCUCCUUCCCUGCUGUGCGGAAGAGGAUUACAGUUUGUGCAGUUAUGGUUUGAGGUUUUUAC